Long non-coding RNA from Cyprinus carpio (common carp), 1314 nucleotides. The record is from Ensembl. Lineage: Eukaryota; Metazoa; Chordata; Actinopteri; Cypriniformes; Cyprinidae.
AUGCAUCGUUAAAGUUUCACUCUCACCAUGAUUAAACCGGUAAAUGUGGUGUUUACAUGGAAUUAUCGUAAUAUGAGUUUACCUUGUGGUAUGAACCCAGAGUCUCCAUAUCAGUAAGCGAUAAAACGACCAUCUUCCAUUUGAAGACUUAUGUUGUAUUUCAGGGCAAAGCAAAAAAAAAAUUAUAAAAAAAAAAACAUUGUCAAACAGCAAUAUAAAAUGCGGGAAACUAUUACUUGGUUAUUCUACAAUUAAUGGUACUAUAAAUUAUACUACAAUUAUAAAAUACUGUAAAUUGAUAAACUGUUUGGCGUGAUGACAUUUAAUGUCUCCGACAGCGCCUGUAGUCCCAUUUAGCAACUUGUUAGCAACUGUUUUUAAGAAACAUAACAGUUUUAAAAAAUCAUGAGUGGGGUGUAACUAGUGUGUUUUAUGUUGUAGAAUAAAACGUGAAAGUAUCUUGCGCUUGUGUGAACCACAGACCUUAUUAAAGUGGAUUUAACCAAACUCACAUUCAAAAAACCCAUUGAAUCAUGUAGUUUAACAGAACGAGUGAACUGUUUUGCAUUUUUCACUUUAGCAGAGAAAACAUGGGAGAGACGGGGAGCAAGGUGGUCUUGAGGGAGACAUCUGUUGAUGGAGUCCAGCCCCAGCCGACGCCAGCACUUGCCAUAGACGGGUUAACCAAAACCAGCAAGAUGAAGGUGAAAUGGACCCAACUGGGCCUGGUGUUUUUCUUACUGCUGUCCAUCAUCAUGACUUCUUGCUUCAUUUGGCAGUACCAGCUGCCCAAGUUAGUGCUAGGUGAGUGAGUUGUCCACAGGUCAUGUGUUAAUGCACCUUUAACAGCUCCAAGACUGCUUCCUUGUGUAAGCUUUAAAGGGGUCAUAUGAUGCGAUUUCAAUUUUUCCUUUCUCUUUGGAGUGUUACAAGCCCUUGGUGCAUAAAGAAGAUCUGUAAAGUUGCAAAGGCUAAAGUCUCAAAUCCAAAGAGAUAUUCUUUAUAAAAGUUAAGAGUCAACCACUCCUACCUAAAACAGCUCAUUCUAACAUGUCUAUGUCAUGAUGUGGGAAGAUUUGCAUAACGCCCCCCAAAUGUUCACGCAAAGAAAGAAGGCGUAACUUUUGUUCUCGCUGUUGCCACCGUGGCCAUUUUGUGGAGACGCUGCGUGUUUCGUUGUGAAAGCGAAGAUACUUUGGCCUUCCAAAAGAGGACACAACUAGAAAUCAGUGGUUCUACACUGUUCUGGAAUAGUUCAACCCAAAUAUUCAGAUGUGUGCAGCGGAUUUUGUGGAGGUUGUGGACUGUUUCCUG